Molecule: ribosomal RNA, 447 nt
Filed under: uncultured bacterium
Lineage: Bacteria
Description: partial 16S ribosomal RNA
Rfam family: Bacterial small subunit ribosomal RNA
Source: RNAcentral
GCCCUUCAGCAGCCGCGGUAAUACGUAGGGUGCAAGCGUUAAUCGGAAUUACUGGGCGUAAAGCGUGCGCAGGCGGUUAUGCAAGACAGAUGUGAAAUCCCCGGGCUCAACCUGGGAACUGCAUUUGUGACUGCAUAGCUAGAGUACGGUAGAGGGGGAUGGAAUUCCACGUGUAGCAGUGAAAUGCGUAGAUAUGUGGAGGAACACCGAUGGCGAAGGCAAUCCCCUGGACCUGUACUGACGCUCAUGCACGAAAGCGUGGGGAGCAAACAGGAUUAGAUACCCUGGUAGUCCACGCCCUAAACGAUGUCAACUGGUUGUUGGGAGGGUUUCUUCUCAGUAACGUAGCUAACGCGUGAAGUUGACCGCCUGGGGAGUACGNCCCGCAAGGUUGAAACUCAAAGGAAUUGNCCGNAGGGNGNAUUUNNCCNGNUNCCCNCNACANNG